GGAGACUGCCGGUGAUAAUCCGGAGGAAGGUGGGGAUGACGUCAAGUCAUCAUGGCCCUUACGGCCAGGGCUACACACGUGCUACAAUGGCGCGUACAGAGGGCUGCAAGCUAGCGAUAGUGAGCGAAUCCCAAAAAGCGCGUCGUAGUCCGGAUCGGAGUCUGCAACUAGACUCCGUGAAGUCGGAAUCGCUAGUAAUCGCAAAUCAGAAUGUUGCGGUGAAUACGUUCCCGGGCCUUGUACACACCGCCCGUCACACCAUGGGAGUGGGUUGCACCAGAAGUAGAUAGCUUAACCUUCGGGAGGGCGUUU
Molecule: ribosomal RNA, 312 nt
Filed under: Aeromonas hydrophila
Lineage: Bacteria; Pseudomonadati; Pseudomonadota; Gammaproteobacteria; Aeromonadales; Aeromonadaceae
Description: bacterial SSU rRNA
Rfam family: Bacterial small subunit ribosomal RNA
Source: RNAcentral